RNAcentral lists this long non-coding RNA (1082 nucleotides) under Salmo salar (Atlantic salmon). RNAcentral describes it as "lncRNA (ENSSSAG00000101573.1)". The record is from RNAcentral. Lineage: Eukaryota; Metazoa; Chordata; Actinopteri; Salmoniformes; Salmonidae.
ACGCCCUAAAAGUGUGAUGUCAUCCUAUAUGGAGCACUUGGUCAGAUGCCACUAUCAGUAUCACUGCACCUCACCACCACUUACCCUCUCUCCAACCCUGAUCCACAUUUACCAUUUAGCACAAAGAACAUAAAUACAUAUGAAACAUUAGCGGAGAGAGCAGGAGUGGCCUCAACAAUGGAUGUGGUUCGGUUAGGAAUAGGGGUUCAGAUAUACUAUCACCAAGGAAUCGCCAACCAUCAGGGCAUGGACCUGAGCCCUAGGACCAUGCCUCAGGACUACCUGGUAUGAUGACUCCUUGCUGUCCCCAGUCCACCUGGCCGUGCUGCUGCUCCAGUUUCAACUGUUCUGCCUGCGGCUAUGGAACCCUGACCUGUUCACCGGACGUGCUUGUUGCACCCUCGACAACUACUAUGAUUAUUAUUAUUUGACCAUGCUGGUCAUUUAUGAACAUUUUAACAUCUUGACCAUGUUCUGUUAUAAUAUCCACCCGGCACAGCCAGAAGAGGACUGGCCACCCCUCAUAGCCUGGUUCCUCUCUAGGUUUCUUCCUAGGUUUUUGGCCUUUCUAGGGAGUUUUUCCUAGGGAGUUUUUCCUAGCCACCGUGCUUCUUUCACAUGCAUUGCUUGCUGUUUGGGGUUUUAGGCUGGGUUUCUGGACAGCACUUUGAGAUAUCAGCUGAUGUACGAAGGGCUAUAUAAAUAAAUUUGAUUUGAACAACUGAGACAUAAAACUGAACAAGUUCCACAGACAUGUGACUAACAGAAAUGGAAUAAUGUGUCCCUGAACAGGGGGGGGGGGGGGUCAAAAUCAAAAGUAACAGUCAGUAUCUGGUGUGGCCACCAGCUGCAUUAAGUACUGCAGUUCAUCUCCUCCUCAUGGACUGCACCAGAUUUGCCAGUUCUUGCUGUGAGAUGUUACCCCACUGUUCCACCAAGGCACCUGCAAGUUCCCGGACAUUUCUGGGGGGAAUGGCCCUAGCCCUCAUCCUCCGAUCCAACAGAUCCCAGACGUGCUCAAUGGGAUUGAGAUCCGGGGUCUUCACUGGCCAUGGCAGAACACUGACAUUCCUGUCUUGCAG